AGGUAGAUACCAACACAGUAAUACUGGGAGACUAAUGUUCUCCAUUCUCAUCAAUAGGUAUGUCAUACAGACUGAAAUUCAUCAACAACAACAAAACAACUUCAGAAUUGAACAGAUCAAACAUACAAACAACAGAAUAUUCCACUCAAUGGUUUCAGAAUGCACAUUCUUCUCAUCAUCCCAAGGAACUAACUCCAAAGCAGACAAUAUUUUAGGACACAUAGAAAGCUUUGACACAUGAGAAAAUUAAGAUAUCUUCCUAUAUUUUAUCUGAUCCCAAUGAAAUAAAAAUACGAAUCAAUAAAAAGUGAAAACACAGGGCAAAACCCAUUCCUAUUAGCAUCAAUUAGUUGUACAAGGUUUCACUUUUACACAUCCAUAUAUGCAAACAAUGUAUAUUCAUCAGACUCACCUUCUUCAUCAUUCUAUCUCAUCUUUCCUGUCUCCUUCCCAAGCUAGUCUUGGCAAGCUUCAUUGUUUCACUUCACACAUGUACUUAUAGUGCAUAAAGGUAAAUAAAGUUCUAUAUUCAUACUCUUUUAUGUUUUGCAUUCAUUAUCUCCCUCUCACUAGUACACCAAUCUCAGACAGGGCCUGUUUUAUAUUCCUGACAUUCCCUUUUCAGUGUAUAUUCCGGACAUUCUCUUUUUAUUUUUAUUCAAAGAGAUUCCACUGGGAUAUUUCACACAUGCAUAUACAGUUCUUUAAUCAGAUUGACCUUUCAACUCUUACUUUCCCUAUACCUUCUACCCCUAUUAUUCAACUAUUUUCAGCGAGUUUCAUUUUGCUAUCAUCAUUUGCUAUCAUCAUUCACAGUUGCAAUGUAUUUCAAUACUGUCAUUCUAUAACACUCUCUUUACCCUUACAAAAUCCCCUCAGAUAGUUCCACAAUUACAAACAUGAUGGUGUGUCUGUGUGUGUGUUUACAUAUAUGUUAGGACACAGACCAGGACAGAAAGACCAUGCAUGUGAAGACACUUGAAAAAAGACAGCUAUCAACUAGCCAAGUCAGAUCCUCAGAAAACCCCUUAAUACUUGCAUUGUAGCCUCCAGAACUGUG
Molecule: long non-coding RNA, 1060 nt
Organism: Perognathus longimembris pacificus (Pacific pocket mouse)
Lineage: Eukaryota; Metazoa; Chordata; Mammalia; Rodentia; Heteromyidae
Exons: 3
Source: RefSeq, a predicted model, not a curated record